This 115-nucleotide small RNA is filed under the name Marmota monax (woodchuck). The record is from RNAcentral. Lineage: Eukaryota; Metazoa; Chordata; Mammalia; Rodentia; Sciuridae.
GGCAGGCGCAGUGGAGUGUGCCUGUUGUCUCAGCCCUUGGGAGGCUGAGGCGGGAGGAUCGCUUGAGCUCAGGAGUUCAGACCAGCCUGGACAACAUAGAAAGACCCUGUUUCAA